GAGUUUGAUCGUGGCUCAGAGUGAACGCUGGCGGUAGGCCUAACACAUGCAAGUCGAACGGUAACAGGUCUUUCGGGAUGCUGACGAGUGGCGGACGGGUGAGGAACACAUCGGAAUCUGCUCAGUCGUGGGGGAUAACGCAUGGAAACGUGCGCUAAUACCGCAUACGACCUUCGGGUGAAAGCAGGGGAAUCUUUAGGGAUCCUUGCGCGAUUGAAUGAGCCGAUGUCGGAUUAGCUAGUUGGUAGGGUAAAAGCCUACCAAGGCGACGAUCCGUAGCUGGUCUGAGAGGAUGAUCAGCCACACUGGGACUGAGACACGGCCCAGACUCCUGCGGGAGGCAGCAGUGGGGAAUAUUGGACAAUGGGGGCAACCCUGAUCCAGCCAUACCGCGUGGGUGAAGAAGGCCUUCUGGGUUGUAAAGCCCUUUUGUUGGGGAAGAAAAACAACGGGUUAAUACCCCGUUGGUAUGACGGUACCCAAAGAAUAAGCACCGGCUAACUUCGUGCCAGCAGCCGCGGUAAUACGAAGGGUGCAAGCGUUACUCGGAAUUACUGGGCGUAAAGGGUGCGUAGGUGGUUGCGCCAGUCUGUCGUGAAAGCCCUGGGCUUAACCUGGGAAUGGCGAUGGAAACUGUGCAACUAGAGUGUGACAGAGGGUGGUGGAAUUCCUGGUGUAGCAGUGAAAUGCGUAGAGAUCAGGAGGAACAUUCGUGGCGAAGGCGGCCACCUGGGUCAACACUGACACUGAGGCACGUAAGCGUGGGGAGCAAACAGGAUUAGAUACCCUGGUAGUCCACGCCCUAAACGAUGCGAACUGGAUGUUGGGUCCAACUUGGGAUUCAGUAUCGAAGCUAACGCGUUAAGUUCGCCGCCUGGGGAGUACGGUCGCAAGACUGAAACUCAAAGGAAUUGACGGGGGCCCGCACAAGCGGUGGAGUAUGUGGUUUUAUUCGAUGCAACGCGCAGAACCUUACCUGGCCUUGAUAUGCACGGAACCUUUG
Molecule: ribosomal RNA, 1003 nt
Filed under: uncultured Lysobacterales bacterium
Lineage: Bacteria; Pseudomonadati; Pseudomonadota; Gammaproteobacteria; Lysobacterales
Description: bacterial SSU rRNA
Rfam family: Bacterial small subunit ribosomal RNA
Source: RNAcentral